Molecule: long non-coding RNA, 8060 nt
Organism: Catharus ustulatus (Swainson's thrush)
Lineage: Eukaryota; Metazoa; Chordata; Aves; Passeriformes; Turdidae
Exons: 2
Source: RefSeq, a predicted model, not a curated record
UUUACCAAAACAGUAAAACGUGUUUUUCACAAUACUCUUGUAGUUAAUAAGCUGUGAUGCCUUGCUUCCCUUUUCUCCUACUUCAUCUUCACAGCUUGAGGCCAAGCAAAGAAACAAGUCCAAGGCUUCCUCUCUGCUCCCCCUCCUUUUCUGGUUCAAGUUGUGAGUGGUUUCAUGCGGACUCUUGUUUUUCAUAGACACUGUUGGUUCCACCAUCUAACGAGUCUAAUCCUAAUAGCAGUUAUUGGCUUUGACUUAUUCCCUAUCUCCUUUGUAACAGCUGCUGGCAAAGCUGCUGCUCUCCUGAUGAAUUUUGUUGUCUAAUUUUUGAUAGUACACUUACAGCUGUUAAAACUCUUCCAUCUCUGCAUUUAAUACUUCUCUUCCCCCAGCUCUCAUUUCAGUUAAGUGUUAAGCAUCACUCACAAAGUUGCAAAUAAUCACUUGUAGUUUGCAGCAUUAGGAGGAAGAAAAAUCAGAGGAGAUAAUGGAUGAAAAGGUAAGUACUGAACAUCAGCAUCUUUGGUGGUUGUGUACUGAUAAAGGAUAAAAUAACUGCUGUUUCCUAUCCUCCUCCUUUCUUUUCUCAACAAAGGGGCAGGUAUAUAAUGGUUAAUGUCUCUCCAGCAUCAGUAGAUGUGGGCUCACAGAUUUCUGUAUUUGUGCUGUUAUUUACAAAUAAAAGGUUUCCAGGUUUUAUUCUUGGCCCUUGCUGUAUUGUGUGUAAAUGUAUCUUCUCCUGUCAUUUAGCAGUGCUUUAGAAAACAGCUGGUGCCCCCAGGGUAAACCUUUAAACAAUGUCCUACUCUGACAAAAUUCUGCUUCAUCAGCAAACCAUGUCGUGCAUAUUUCUCUCAUUGUUUUGCAAAUUGCUGUUACAAAGAGCUUUUGCAUUUAAACAGGCUCUCUCUGACCUAAGAGAUAGUAAAAAUUACAUUAGAGAUGCCACAGUAACUUGUCACUGUGACCUGCCCUAAAUAGCUGGACUUAUUUCACUUGGAUAAAUCAUUUAUUUAUAAUGACCUAUUGUGUCAUCAGAAUUCUGCAGCAGAGACGCUUCAGCUCCAACUUACAUGAAUAUUCUUUUGAAGGGCUAAUCAGAAGAGAUAUACCAUCAGGAUUAUGUGCUUUAAAAAUGCAGUUUUAGACAGCACUGGCCAAACUGGGAAGUAAUGAUUAAUCUGUUCUGAUUACUGUGAUCAUAUAGAUCCUCUCUGCUCACCCCUUCUCCAUGAUCUCAGUUAGAAAGAGCUCUAAUUUUCAGCUCCUUUUUUCCCUAGAGCUGCAUUUCCAUUACCAAAUUUGCAAUUAGAGCCCAGUGCUUCCAGACUUGCUUUGAUAACUUGAGACAACAGCAUGGUGCAAAAUUUUAUCUCUCCCUCUCCCUUUUAACAGACUUUAGUGGCUCUUUGUCUGUCAGGAGCAUCUCUGUCUGCUUUGGAUAUGUAAUGGAGCUUCCUGAACCUCACAUCUCCCUUUGUGCAAUUCUGCUAAUGAAAAGCCAGCCACAGAAGAUACUUUGUCCUUGUAAAUCCAUGGCACAGGGAGGAUAUUCCUGUAUUGCUUCCUGCCUGCUGUCACUGAGGCCACUGUUCUGGCACAGAGCGAGCCAUGAACAGCUGCAGAAAUCCAGGGAUGGCCCUGGUAUCGCUUCCUGGAGGGAUGAAUGUGGCAAUAAGUGUCAGGAAAAGGAAAUUGCCGGUCGUGUUCUUGUCCUGGCCACAUGCUUGUGGGAAAGGGUUGGCAGGUGGCUCCUGCUCCUUCCAUGGAGGAUGGGAGUAGCUUUUUUCAUUUUAUCUGCUAAAUGUCUGCCUAAACAAAACUACCACAAAAUAUUAUCACACAUGAUUAUUGAUCUCAACCCCAGCUCAGGUCUGGUCUUUAUGUCACACCACUCCUUCUGCUACUUUUGAAGAUUUUCUCCAGAAAUUGAAUGGAGAAACCAUUUCUGCUCCUCUUGUGAGGAAGCAAAGACAGUGCCCCACAAACCAGGACAUUGGGAAAUGAUCAUCCUCCCUGGCUCUGACCAUGCCCUGUGUGCAUUGUGCACCUAAACACUUCUGAAAAUGUUCAUAUAAUGUAGAGAAAUCGUAAAUGCAAGGGAAUAUUGACCUGAGAGGUGGUGUGUAAAUGUGUGAACAUUUUAUUGUGUGGGGCACUGACUUUGGUAAUUUCUGUGGGCAAAAUGGUCUUCAAAGAGCAGUGAAAAGCCAGCAGUUAUUGCAGGCAUGGUGGACAGGAUGAAGGUGAUUGUCCAUCACCAGCUGCUCUGGGUGGGGAGCUGGGCCAGGAGGGACAGCACGUGCAAGGUGCCUGUGGGUCCCUGCAAAGAUUGCUUUUAAAAGCUCUGUCUUCACACCUUUACAGCCCAAGUAAAGUGGAGAAAUAAAUCACUGUGCACAGUUGUCAUUUUCCCCUCUAAGCACCAGCCAAAGUGUUUAAAUAUAGCUAAACCACUGCAUUUCCUCAGAAUAAACACUCAGAUACUCAAAAUAAAUUGCUAGGUCCUGGUAUCAAAGGAAUGAUUUAUAACCCAAUUAUACUGGGAAUUUUAUUCUCUAUUGUUUCACUGAUAGGUUAUGGGUCAAUUAGGUGUUUUACUCCUGCAGAAACACAUCCUCAUUGCACCAUGAAGUGUCUGAAUUUGGCACACUGGGAUUUGCCCUGUCCAUCUUGUAAACCUCAUCCAGUUUGUGGAAAAACUUUGAGAAUCAUUGUGCCAAGGGCCAGGUCUGUAAUUUUUGCAGCAUUUUGUCUGUGUUUACUGCCCAGGCAUUGGCAGGAAUGUAGAGAGUUCCUUUCUGGUGAAUAAUCUUCCCCAUCUUCUGUUUUCUCCUCAGACUCACAGUGUACAGAAGAUGUUCGUGGUGCAGCUCAGUCUGUAAGGUCUCUGGGGAAUGGAUAUUUUUGAGCCUUCAGAGGAGGCAGACAGCAUCAGUAAUGGUCUUCAGCAGGGGCCAGCAGACACCUGGUGAAGAAUAAGAAUAGAAGAGACUUGUUUAAUCUUCCUCCAUAACAUUUUUACUCUCCAAGUGCAGUCAGCUCAAGAUUUCCUAAGAUUAAUGUGAUUCUCAGUAAGGUGCCCUGGGUUCCUCUUGUAGCUGCUUGUCCAUUCUGCCCUUGAACAUCCACAAUUGUAGAACCACUGAAAAGGCACAUUGCUUUUAGAACAAAACCUAUUAUCCUCUACAAUGGUACAAACCCACACUUACUCUUAAGACUUUAGUUGAGUAAUUUUUAUCAGUGAAAUCUGAAAAAGGGAGGGGAUUUGACCAAAUUAAUGGAUGUAAAAGAGGAGGUUCAGGGGAAAAAUGUUUUAUGAUUAUGCCUCAAAUCUUGAAUUAUUUUAGCAAUGCAAAUUCAAUGGUGCAUUUUAAUUCCCUUGUUAAUAUGGACUUUUCCAGGUCUGCAUGUUAUCAAUGUCAGUGUAAAUCAGAAAGGGAAUCCAGCCCAAGGGUUUUGUGCAUCCUCUGUUUGCUCCUCCUCCUUUCUCUUUUUACAAAUUAGAGUGACAAUGCAAUAAUCUUGAAUAACAUUAUACUUUUCUAUUCCUAGAAACUACAGUCAUGUUCUCUAGACACAGGGAUAUCGAAACUAAAAGAGAAAUAAAAUCCAACCCCGGUCACAUUUCCACAGUGGCACCCCAGGCAGAUGAUGGUUUUGGUAUUCUCAUGCCUACACUUUUCAUUUCCUGGAUGUGGCUCUUGGCAUCCUGGAGUUGUUUGCAGUAAAUGGUGUUCACUGAGCAAGCCUGUCCCUCAAAAUGCCUGACUCUCCUGGUUGCUCCUCUCCCCACAUCUCGAUUAUCUAACACAUUAAUACAACAAGCACUGCAAUAAUUAGGGCACCAUAUGGCACGCACUGUUACAGAGCAAUUCUAGCAUUGGUGGGUUGGGUGAGUAGUCAGAAAGAAUAAAAUAAGCAAGGCUGCUGGUGUGAGCAGAAGACUAAGUCAGUGCACUCACAUGGCAGAGAAGAAUGAGUAAGUUAGGUGUGUGUACAAGCUGGACUUGGGGAAUUUUUUGGUUUUGUUCUCAUCCCCGAUGAAAAGGCACCCUGGGUUAGAGGGGUGCACUGAACUGCUGCAGAGAGAUAAGUGCCCUUCAUGGCACAUCUCCCUGAGGAUGAUCUUUAUUAUACUUGGCUUCCCUCAGGUCGGUGAGCUCUCUAAUAUUUCCCUGCCUGGGAUUGUAUUGCUAUUUAUCAGUUAUAAUGGGUAUUUAGUGUUUUCAAUUAUUUGCCACUUCACUGAGAGCACAACAGUCAUUGCAGCCAUUGUGGGAUUCUUAGUUAAUCCUCUAAAUAAUAAAAGGAAUCAGGGAGCAUGUAUAAGCUGUGAGAUUUUCCUGGCCUGGCUGUCAGCUGGGAAUGUGAGCAAAUCAUGCCCAUGAGCCAUCACAGCCACGCUAACAAAAGCUUUGGGGCACAUGCAGAAAUACAGAUUGUGGAGUAUUCUUGGGUUGUAUCUCUGGAGAAAUGUUAUAGCUGGGCUUGAAGAAGUCUUGUGGUGAUGUAAAAUGCAUGUCCUUUAUGGAUGGUUGCUCAUAUGAGCAGAGUGUCAAGAGUUUUGGUGUAAAAAUCCCAUUCAGUAUUUUCUCCGUGCUAAAACAUCUUCUUCCAACUGAAACACUUUGGCUGCUUGGAUGAAGACUGUCUUUCAAACUGAAUCACUGUUUUGAUAUUUGCACUAAACGUUUUCUAACAACGUGGAAUAGACAUGAUGGAUGCCACAGAAGGAAGGACAGUCCCAGGGAAGGUUAGUGGGUGACCUCCCAGGAUGUCACCUUCUCCUCAAGAAGCCCCAGGACAUCCUUUCCUUUGUUUCUACAGAGCAGAUGCAAAGCAACCAACCCCUUUUUUUCCUGAGGACAAAUCACUUCCAAGUACAUCUGGAUGAGCAUGAAGAAUGAGAAUAUGAAUACAGACAAUUAUGAUGGAGUAGGGGCCCUGUAAAUUUAUACCCAAACUUACCCCCUGGUAACUCAUUCAUCUGUCUGUCUUGACAGAAUGCAUGAGAAAUAGUGGGACAAUAAAGGCUUUUGUUAUGCUGAAAGAUGUUAAUAGCUGGCCCCAGGCUGAGCAGGGUUUCCAAGACAAUCACAGAUAACACAGCAAAACUCAGUAGAAUGAACACUGAGGCCUUUAUUUUGUAAUGUAGAGAGACUGGGGCUAUGUCAGGGUGGGGGUUGUCUAAAAGUACAGGUUUUACAGGAUCCCAUUUUUAUGGAAAAGUACUUUCUGGGACGGCAGGGUAGCUGAACUGCUCAUUACAAAUAUGGAAACAUCCAGAAGAACAUCAUUAUAGACUGCUGUACCACGAGGGUGAGGGUCUCAGGAGGUGUCAGGGGCACUGGGAAUGUCCUUGUGCCCCUCCAGCCUCUGCCGGUUCCAGCACAAAAGGAGAUGCUCAGCAAAGAAAUUCCGAAGGAAACAGUCUUGGGAUGGUUUCAGAUGCUUCAGAAAAAUUUCUUAUCAUUCAGUCUUUCAGGAAGGGAGGUAAUAAUGCAGAUCUGUCCUCACCACUGGUACAGUGAAGCCCCUUCUCAUCUCCUUUCUCUUUUCACUGUUGUCUCUCCACAAGCUGCUGUCCCUCGGGGAAGACACCAUCAUAACCACAGCCAGUGCAAGGGAUGAGGAUAUUUUUAUAGUUCAUGAGUCUAAAUCUGCACUGGCUUGGUUCUGUCUGAAAAUAGUGUCCUUUCCAAGGUGAGGAUUUUGUGAAAAGACUCAGGAAUAAACAGCUGGAAUGGGUCCCCUCCUGUGUAUUUAGGCAAACAUACACAGGUGUUUUGGGUGGAUUCCCCUGGCCUGAAAGUUGGCUUCUGGUCUGAAAAAUGUUUAGGUUUGCUCUGUAGUUGGUAGGACUAAAAUGAGAUUUUCAGAAAUUAUCCCACUUCUCUUGGACAGUCAUCUUAGGAUGAGACAAAUGGGAGGUGUCUCUCUGCAGUGACUGCAAUGGAAACCAAGAAAUCCUGCAGGUCAGCUGCCCACGCUCAGCUAGAAGGAACCAACACAGAGAUCAGCAGCACUGGCAGGUUUGCUCCAUGCACCCUUGUAUACUUUAUAAAAAAAACCUUUCCAGAGCCUUCACCACAGCUGCAAAGCACAAACCUCACAGCUGUUCUCUGCCAGAGGAAGAAAGCAAGAAUAUCCUAAGGGAAAAUGCACAGAGGAUCCUAGGAAGUAUUUACUUUUACCUCAGUUUGGACAUGUGACUGGUAACAAAAUUACAGGUGAGCAAACAAAAAACCCGAAUUUUUUAAGGCAGUGCCAGUUAUUGUAGAUGAGAGCCAUUGAUGUGAUGGGACAAACUAGAACUUUGAUGGGAUGAACACACUCCAGAAAUGCCACCCCAAAAGUUAAACUAGUAACUAACAAAAGUGAAACAGAGCACAUUUUGCUCUUGGCAGCCAUGAUAUAAGUAAAGCCAUUUAUUUAGUUUAGCUUUCAUCUUCUUCUUGCUCCUCUGUCCUCAAAAGAGAUAGUUUGGAUCAAGUCACUGAAGUCCACACUGAAACACAUUGUACCCUGGUGAUUGAUACCUACAAAAACUCAGAGUGACAAGGUAAUAAAAGUGUAAAGGUUUGGGUUCCAUCAGGGAAAUCCAGUUGCACUCACUUUGCUGUCAGAAUAAUGGGGUGUCUAUUUUGUGGUCAUAGAGUUAAUGCAUUUGAUGCAGGUAGAAUGAUUUGCAAAUCAUAGGGACCUCUUUGGAAGGAAACAUUAAGUAAAACUUUUUAAAAAAUCACUCUUUCUUAUAGAUAUGCACAUGGCACACUGUUAUAGACUAAGUGUCUGUAAAAUGUUGAUGCUCUGUAACCCCAAAUUAUGUCUGAGAGAAAACAAACCCCUCCAUGGCUCCUGGUGAGCUGUGGGACUAGGCUGGUGCUGCUUUGGAAGAGGAUGGCUUCACAUUUUUGAACAAAGAACUGGUGAAGCUGGAUAAACACAAAUGUACUGAGGGCUGAUGUUUCAGAUCAGGGGGAGGAUUUCAGGAAAUUCACUGAAUGUUCCUUGUGCUUCAGUUCACCCAGAGAGACAAUUUGAGCAAGAAGGAGCAGUCACACUGAGAAGCAGAUGCCAGCUUUUGGAGCAGGGCAGGCAAAGGACAGAGGAGGAUGCAAGGCAGAGAACAUGGGUGAUGAAGAGCUGAUUUCAGGAUGGAUCUUUGUGGUAUCUGCUGAAGUCCAUAAGCUUUGACCCCAACCUUCUGAAGAAAGAAUCAGACCUGGAGAAAAGUUCCUGCACUUCAAAUAAACCAGGUGGCAACUUGUGGAAGAAGAAUGUUGGAACUCACACCUGGACUUCCAGCCUCAAUGUCCAUCAGGCCCUGAUACCAAACUGCUCCAGGAAGAUGUGCAAUAACUGCAGUGCCAUAUGCCAGAGGUCAAUGGACAAAACUCCCUGCAAGGGCCUGAGCAGGCUCCCAGCUUGCCUGACACCCAUGAAUCCAAAUGGAAAAGAGAGUGUGGCAAGUGACACUUAAUCUCAAUGUGAGCAAAGGCUGUCCUUGUACCCAGAGAAACAACUGACAGCUAAUUCAGGACUGAGAUCUCCAGGGAUCUCUGCAGGAGCAAAGUCUCCUCUGUGGAAGAUUAAAACUUGGUGCAAACUCCAAGGUCACCUCUGUAAAAGCAGUGGGAAGGGAACAGGAUAAGCCUUGGCAUCACCUGAGCUCGCUGGCAUCCAGCUGCUGAGCAGUGUUGAGUUUAUUGUGCUGGAGAUUCCACAAAGAGUUUUCAUCCAUCAGGAGCUCUGGGUUCUGCAGAGUCUGAUGGAUAUCCUUAAAAAUUUUGGAGUGGCAGUUUGGAGGGUAGCUGGCAAAACAUGAGCCAGCAAAACAUUGUAGGAAGAUGAAUUCACAAGCAGAAAUUUUUAGAGAUGGUAUUUGAGAACAAAAGAGUGAUUCCACCAACCUGCACUAUUCAUUUAUUUAAAUUUACUCUAUAAAGUGGACAGCAAAGGAAAGUCAAAACUUGCACUGAUGAUUUUUCUUUCUCUCCCCCCACUGCCCCUGAUCUUUUAUUUAUUAAAUUGCUCUGGGUGCACCUUUCAAAUGA